RNAcentral lists this ribosomal RNA (373 nucleotides) under uncultured eukaryote. RNAcentral's name for it is "partial 18S ribosomal RNA". It matches the Rfam family "Eukaryotic small subunit ribosomal RNA", at positions 592 to 976 of the family's 1831-position model. The record is from RNAcentral.
CAAUAGCGUAUAUUAAAGUUGUUGCAGUUAAAAAGCUCGUAGUUGAAUUUUUGCUUGCCGCCGAUGUCGGAACUUCCGUACGUUCGGCGGCGUGCAUCCUUGGGUGGAACCUGUGUGGCAUUAGGUUGUCGUGCAGGGGAUGCUCAUCGUUUACUGUGAAAAAAUUAGAGUGUUCAAAGCAGGCUUACGCCGUUGAAUAUAUUAGCAUGGAAUAAUAAGAUAGGACCUUGGUACUAUUUUGUUGGUUUGCGCACCGAGGUAAUGAUUAACAGGGACAGUCGGGGGUAUUCGUAUUCCAUUGUCAGAGGUGAAAUUCUUGGAUUUCUGGAAGACGAACUACUGCGAAAGCAUUUACCAAGGAUGUUUUCAUUAA